AUGUUAAGGUUAAUGUUAAGUGCUAACCACUAUGCUACCAGCUGUCCGCAGAGCUGUUACCUGCUUGCUUAAAGUAUAUUUUUUGUCCCAUGUUGCUUUACCUAGUCUAAAUUAUAAUGCAGGCAAAAUCACAUAGUUCCUUCUUUGUCUUUCACACCAACGUCAUCCUUUCAAAGCUUUCUCCUGCUGUUGUUUCUUGACAGACCAGUACUGAAAACCUUUAUUAUAACCAUAAACUUGUACUAAAUUUAGCAGAAACCUACUAUGUUGUCCACGGGUAACAGAGAAUCAGGUUUUGAUUCUGGAGAGGGAGCCUGAGAAACAGCUACCACAUCCAAGGAAGGUA
RNAcentral lists this non-coding RNA (346 nucleotides) under Scleropages formosus (Asian bonytongue). RNAcentral describes it as "Eukaryotic small subunit ribosomal RNA". It matches the Rfam family "Eukaryotic small subunit ribosomal RNA", at positions 155 to 427 of the family's 1831-position model. The record is from Rfam by way of RNAcentral. Lineage: Eukaryota; Metazoa; Chordata; Actinopteri; Osteoglossiformes; Osteoglossidae.